Molecule: ribosomal RNA, 253 nt
Filed under: uncultured bacterium
Lineage: Bacteria
Description: partial 16S ribosomal RNA
Rfam family: Bacterial small subunit ribosomal RNA
Source: RNAcentral
UACGGAGGGUGCAAGCGUUAUCCGGAUUCACUGGGUUUAAAGGGUGCGUAGGUGGGCAGGUAAGUCAGUGGUGAAAUCUCCGGGCUUAACUCGGAAACUGCCAUUGAUACUAUCUGUCUUGAAUACCGUGGAGGUCAGCGGAAUAUGUCAUGUAGCGGUGAAAUGCUUAGAUAUGACAUAGAACACCAAUUGCGAAGGCAGCUGGCUAGACGAAUAUUGACACUGAUGCACGAAAGCGUGGGGAGCAAACAGG